Long non-coding RNA from Alligator sinensis (Chinese alligator), 812 nucleotides. RefSeq lists it as uncharacterized. The transcript is spliced from 3 exons. The record is from RefSeq and is a predicted model, not a curated record. Lineage: Eukaryota; Metazoa; Chordata; Crocodylia; Alligatoridae.
CCGCCCGGCGCCCUGCGUCCCCAUCGCCGCCGCUCGCGGGCUCCGGCGUGAGCAGCCGCCACCCCUCCUGCCGCCGCGCAUGCGCCCACGGACUGGGGCGGGGCCUCCGGCCCCGAGAAUGGGACCAGCACCGCCCCCCCCUCUCGCCCCCGGGCAAAGACAAAAGCGACAGCUCAAGACCCGGCGCUUUGCAACGGGCCUCCAGUCUACAAGGGUUGAGACCCGCUGGACUAGCCCGGUCAGCGUCGUCCUGUGCGCCCACCCCGCCCGAGACAGCCCGGAUGGUUGUAGGCCCCAGGGCAGGGGCGACACAGGCUCCAGGCUUGAAGGUAUGUAGAAUUGCUCAUGCUGAAAAAUCCUUGCUGCUUGUCACUGUGUUAAUGUUGCUGAGACCUGCCAGCUUUCAAGUGUGCUCUAAUCCUAAAUUUUCAGUAAUCUUGGGGACCCUAUUGGUGACAUUUCUAUUCCAAUCCCAGGGUCUAAAGAAAGACCCUUUUCAAUGUUCCUAUUUCAUCCAGAUACACUUCUCUAAAGAUCCAAGGGAAUUUGUAGGGAGGCAUUUCUUCAGCAAAACCAUGGGACUUCUGGAACUCACUCCAUCUCCAUUCGCUCCAACAGGCUUUUGGGGUGCUUGCGCACCUGACUGUCAUCACGAUGUACACAUGACAAAGAUGUUAUUUGUAUGGCUUAAUGACAUCACACAUUACACAUGUGCCAGUUUUGGGGGUUUGAGCCUGUCACAACCCAAGGGUGUGAUUUUGUGUGCGCGCGCUUCGGCACUGCUAAAUUAUUUCCCGCCACCAGGAGCUUUC